UGGGCCAGAGCCCUUUUCAGAUUACAAUAAACUGGGCCUUAGCCCCUUAUUCAGAUAACAGUAUGGCCCAUAGGCCCAUUUCAAAAUACAUGCAACAUCAGUAAACAUAUGCAAGCCCAUUUGGGUAACAGUGGUACUGGGCCAGAGCCCUUUUCAGAUUACAAUAAACUGGGCCUUAGCCCCUUAUUCAGAUAACAGUAUGGCCCAUAGACCCAUUUCAAAAUACAUGCAACAUCAGUAAACAUAUGCAAG
This 252-nucleotide long non-coding RNA is filed under the name Gossypium barbadense (sea-island cotton). RNAcentral describes it as "long non-coding RNA (GBAR_LNC005746)". The record is from RNAcentral. Lineage: Eukaryota; Viridiplantae; Streptophyta; Magnoliopsida; Malvales; Malvaceae.